Molecule: long non-coding RNA, 1350 nt
Filed under: Homo sapiens (human)
Lineage: Eukaryota; Metazoa; Chordata; Mammalia; Primates; Hominidae
Description: HSALNT0206806
Source: RNAcentral
UUUCCUUAAAGGGAGUAACUGGUAUAGUUUGGAGAGUUAGGAGUUUAUGGCACUCCCUCUCUCAAGUCAAGAAUGCAUGUCUUUGAGAAUCAUCAAGCAACAUAGGAUGUACUUCCAAGAGGAGAUUUCCUGAGCUGUGGAUCUCACCAGACCUGCAUUGGAUUAAGCAGUGCAUGGCCAGGAGCUCAUGGAAGAUGUUGUUGGAUUCCCUCCACCCGUAAUCCUGGAGUCCUGGAUUGAAACUGUCCUCUUGAAUCACAGGCAGGACCAAUCAAAUCCGAACCCGCUAAAGGAGGCUGAUUUGAAUGGAAGAGAGAGCCACAUUUAUACACAAAGCAUCUGAGUGAGUGGCAGCAGGAUUUCAGCCAAUGACCCCGGCCGGGUCCCACUCCCUACACUGAUGAUGGACUUCACUGUGAACAGCAUACUUGUAGGGGUGGGGGAUGGUGGUGUAACGAGUAAUUCCCUCUCAUAAGGAGGCCAGAGACCCACUGACAAACAUGAAGCUCUGGUUCAGAUCCAUUGAGACAAAAAAAAUAAAAAUAAAAAUAACCCGGACCGCUUGAGUGAAUAGUCAGGAACUAUACAAGAUUUGUGUUUUUGAAAAAUUCUCCACGUCAGUGUACAGUGGAAUGAGGAAAUGCCAUUGUGGGGGGAGGGUAAGGAGACAUAGAUGCCUUUCUGUAAAAUUAAUUAACAAAUUAGUGGUUGACGUAACAUUCUCUCCGUUGAUUCUCUUGUCUCCGGGACGAAGCGCACACUCUGCCGCUGACUGCGCCUUUUGACUCAUCAGUAUCACUCACAUCAUCUGUUGCCUCCUGUCUAGCUUUUUUUUUAGUCUCAGAUGAAACAACUUGUGCCUCUUCUUUCAGCUUGGUUUCCUUGUUUGUUGAUGCAAUGGGAACCAACCAUCUGCCUAAUCAUUUAAAGAAAAUUUUUUAAUCAGGCUUUUUGGGUGAUUUAAUCCAAAACUCACACUUUUCCCCCAUUUUCAAAAAAAAUGAAUCUUACUCGUGAGGACAAAACAUCAAACCACAGUUCGCUCCAAAUUGUUCUCGAUGUUAUAUUUUUAACAGAAUCCCAGGCAUACAUAAUAUUAAAAAUUACAUCCCUGAUGCUAUUGUGAGAUUAAAAGUCUGGCAUGGUGCCUGGAUAAUGGAUCAUAUGAUUAUAUUGCUUACAAAACCUCUUCUGCAAUAUUUCAGUUUCUAAGUAACACCCUCAACCAUGGACUAAAUCAAUGGGGAAAUACUAACAGCCAGAAAAGAAAUAAUGGAACCCACCCUAAGAAAGCAUCAACAGGAUAGCUUUAUUUUUAUUGCGUGAGCUUUUGAUUCUGUGGCGCAACCA